GGUGAGUAAUGCAUAGAUAAUGUGCCCCUUAGUUCGGGAUAGCCACUGGAAACGGUGAUUAAUACCGGAUACUCCUUCUUGUUAUAAGACAAGUCGGGAAAGUUUUUCGCUAAGGGAUCAGUCUAUGUUCCAUCAGCUUGUUGGUGAGGUAAUGGCUCACCAAGGCUAUGACGGAUAUCUGGUUUGAGAGGAUGAUCAGACACACUGGAACUGAGACACGGUCCAGACUCCUACGGGAGGCAGCAGUGAGGAAUAUUGCACAAUGGAGGAAACUCUGAUGCAGCAAAGCCGCGUGGAGGAUGACGCAUUUCGGUGUGUAAACUCCUUUUAUUAGGGAAGAUAAUGACGGUACCUAAUGAAUAAGCACCGGCUAACUCCGUGCCAGCAGCCGCGGUAAUACGGAGGGUGCAAGCGUUACUCGGAAUCACUGGGCGUAAAGGGUGCGUAGGCUGGCUUUUAAGUCAGAUGUGAAAUCCAAUGGCUCAACCAUUGAACUGCAUUUGAAACUGAAAGCCUAGAGUUCAGAAGGGGCAGAUGGAAUUAGUGGUGUAGGGGUAAAAUCCGUAGAUAUCACUAGGAAUAUCAAAAGCGAAGGCGAUCUGCUGGGAU
This 609-nucleotide ribosomal RNA is filed under the name uncultured bacterium. RNAcentral describes it as "bacterial SSU rRNA". It matches the Rfam family "Bacterial small subunit ribosomal RNA", at positions 105 to 735 of the family's 1533-position model. The record is from RNAcentral.